CGGGACGGGUGAGUAACGCGUGGGUAACCUGCCUCAUACAGGGGGAUAACAGUUAGAAAUGGCUGCUAAUACCGCAUAAGACCACAGUACUGCAUGGUACAGUGGUAAAAACUCCGGUGGUAUGAGAUGGAUCCGCGUCUGAUUAGGUAGUUGGUGAGGUAACGGCCCACCAAGCCGACGAUCAGUAGCCGACCUGAGAGGGUGACCGGCCACAUUGGGACUGAGACACGGCCCAG
This 236-nucleotide ribosomal RNA is filed under the name uncultured bacterium. RNAcentral's name for it is "partial 16S ribosomal RNA". It matches the Rfam family "Bacterial small subunit ribosomal RNA", at positions 100 to 334 of the family's 1533-position model. The record is from RNAcentral.